ACGCGUAAGAACUUGCCUCACAGACUGGGACAACAUUUGGAAACGAAUGCUAAUACCGGAUAUUAUGAGAUAUGCGCAUGCAUAACUUAUGAAAGCUAUAUGCGCUGUGAGAGAGCUUUGCGUCCCAUUAGCUAGUUGGAGAGGUAACGGCUCACCAAGGCGAUGAUGGGUAGCCGGCCUGAGAGGGUGAACGGCCACAAAGGGACUGAGACACGGCCCUUACUCCUACGGGAGGCAGCAGUGGGGAAUAUUGGACAAUGGACCAAGAGUCUGAUCCAGCAAUUCUGUGUGCACGAUGAAGUUUUUCGGAAUGUAAAGUGCUUUCAGUUGGGAAGAAGAAAGUGACGGUACCAACAGAAGAAGCGACGGCUAAAUACGUGCCAGCAGCCGCGGUAAUACGUAUGUCGCAAGCGUUAUCCGGAUUUAUUGGGCGUAAAGCGCGUCUAGGCGGCAUAGUAAGUCUGAUGUGAAAAUGCGGGGCUCAACUCCGUAUUGCGUUGGAAACUGCUAUGCUAGAGUACUGGAGAGGUAAGCGGAACUACAAGUGUAGAGGUGAAAUUCGUAGAUAUUUGUAGGAAUGCCAAUGGGGAAGCCAGCUUACUGGACAGAUACUGACGCUAAAGCGCGAAAGCGUGGGUAGC
Molecule: ribosomal RNA, 641 nt
Filed under: uncultured Fusobacterium sp.
Lineage: Bacteria; Fusobacteriati; Fusobacteriota; Fusobacteriia; Fusobacteriales; Fusobacteriaceae
Description: bacterial SSU rRNA
Rfam family: Bacterial small subunit ribosomal RNA
Source: RNAcentral